Molecule: non-coding RNA, 30 nt
Filed under: Mus musculus (house mouse)
Lineage: Eukaryota; Metazoa; Chordata; Mammalia; Rodentia; Muridae
Source: RNAcentral
UAAACUGCGAAACAGGUGAAGAAUCAACCC